This 23-nucleotide non-coding RNA is filed under the name Cricetulus griseus (Chinese hamster). Lineage: Eukaryota; Metazoa; Chordata; Mammalia; Rodentia; Cricetidae. The record is from RNAcentral.
AAAAAAAUGAGAAAGUUGGAGUU